RNAcentral lists this ribosomal RNA (493 nucleotides) under uncultured bacterium. RNAcentral describes it as "partial 16S ribosomal RNA". It matches the Rfam family "Bacterial small subunit ribosomal RNA", at positions 29 to 508 of the family's 1533-position model. The record is from RNAcentral.
AGUGAACGCUGGCGGUAGGCCUAACACAUGCAAGUCGAACGGCAGCACAGUAAGAGCUUGCUCUUACGGGUGGCGAGUGGCGGACGGGUGAGGAAUACAUCGGAAUCUACUUUUUCGUGGGGGAUAACGUAGGGAAACUUACGCUAAUACCGCAUACGACCUACGGGUGAAAGCAGGGGAUCUUCGGACCUUGCGCGAUUGAAUGAGCCGAUGUCGGAUUAGCUAGUUGGCGGGGUAAAGGCCCACCAAGGCGACGAUCCGUAGCUGGUCUGAGAGGAUGAUCAGCCACAAUGGGACUGGGACACGGUCCAGACUCCUACGGGAGGGAGCAGUGGGGAAAAUUGGACAAUGGGCCCAAGCCUGAUCCAGCCAAACCGCGGGGGGGAAGAAGGCCUUCGGGUUGUAAAGCCCUUUUGUUGGGAAAGAAAAGCAGCAAGUUAAUACCCCGCUGUUCUGACGGUACCCAAAGAAUAAGCACCGGUUAACUUCGUGC